AUGGCGACUGGACAUGGUUGGAUGCAGCAGUGCGGAAGAAGCACAGAUGCAGCAGCGGGUGUUGGAGGUCAUGGGGGCGCGUCGCCGGCGACAUCUAGCUGUGUAGGGAAGAAGGUCAUGGUGGCAGUUGGAGGAAGCAGUAUGGAUCCUAUGAAUAACGUUCAAAUGCAUACGAGCCAGGGAGGAUUUAGUACGCCCAAAAAGAACACAGACAUACCUCUCUUUUCUUCGUUUUUUAUACCUGAAUGUGAUGAGCAUCUGAAGCCUAAAGUGGGUAUGACAUUUGAAGGACUCGAGGCCGUGGAGAAGUUCUACAAGGAAUAUGCGCAUCAAUCAGGUUUUGGUGUUCGCAUUGGACAACAAAAAAAGAAUGAGAAUAAGGUGGUCCGUACUAAGCGUUUCAUGUGUAAUAGGGAAGGAUUCAAGGCAAAAGAUAGUAAAGAGACUAAUGACCCCUUGAAGAAAAGGCGUAAGCAGACAGAUACGCGAUGCGGUUGUGAUGCCCAUAUCUUUGUUAGACUUUGUGGGGAGAACACCUACAAGAUAGACUCACUGAUUGAGCACCAUGUUCAUGGUCUUGUAUCGCCUAAUAAGUGUCAUUUGAUCAGAUCAAAUCGUAGAGUUAGUGAGAGGGCAAAAAAUACUUUAUACACAUGUCAUAAGGCAAGUAUUGGAACGUCGCAGGCAUACAGGCUCCUGCAAGUUAGUGAGGGUGGAAUUCUGAAUGCUGGGUGCACAAAGAGGGACUUGCAGAAUUACUACCGCGGACUCAGUUUACUGAUACAAGCACUUGCAUUAGUAAUGUGCAUGUCCCUCGACCGAGUACAACAACUCAGUAUUUGCACUAGUACAUCUGCUACAGCAUACACCCUACUUUCUGUAGUUAUCGUCUACAGCUUCCCUGAAGGAAUCAUAGCGGCCGGGGAAGGCCAUCCAGGGGAUAGCGUCUCAUCAAAGAUGCUUCGUCACCAGCGCGGAACAACGCCGGUUCGUGAUGACUUCGCUGUCGAGACGGCCGUCCGGGCCAUCGUCGACAUCGCUGGUGGCCGUGGGGUUUCCAUCGUCGUCGCCACUUGCUUCCAUCGCCAGAGGACUUCUAGGGAAUCGACCGGGCCGUGGUUGCCGGCUUGCCGCUGUAGGAGGCCUUCCGAUUGGAAUUUGAUUUUGGAGGAGAUGCGGCUGAUUGGGCAAAGAGGAUUUUGA
RNAcentral lists this ribosomal RNA (1203 nucleotides) under Triticum aestivum (bread wheat). RNAcentral's name for it is "partial small subunit ribosomal RNA". Lineage: Eukaryota; Viridiplantae; Streptophyta; Magnoliopsida; Poales; Poaceae. The record is from RNAcentral.